RNAcentral lists this ribosomal RNA (521 nucleotides) under uncultured Acaulospora. RNAcentral describes it as "SSU rRNA". It matches the Rfam family "Eukaryotic small subunit ribosomal RNA", at positions 571 to 1092 of the family's 1831-position model. The record is from RNAcentral. Lineage: Eukaryota; Fungi; Glomeromycota; Glomeromycetes; Diversisporales; Acaulosporaceae.
CAGCCGCGGUAAUUCCGCUCCAAUAGCGUAUAUUAAAGUUGUUGCAGUUAAAAAGCUCGUAGUUGAAUUUCGGAGUUUAUCGGUUGGUCGGGCUUCACUGUCCGCACUGACCUGAUGGAUUCCUACCUUCUGAAUAACCAGCAUGCUAUUAAGUUAGUGCGUUGGGGAAGCAGAGCUAUUACCUUGAAAAAAUUAGAGUGCUUAAAGCAGGCUUAUGCUUGAAUAGAUUAGCAUGGAAUAAUAAAAUAGGACGGCAUGGUUCUAUUUUGUUGGUUUCUAGGAUCACCGUAAUGAUUAAUAGGGAUAGUUGGGGGCAUUAGUAUUCAAUUGUCAGAGGUGAAAUUCUUGGAUUUAUUGAAGACUAACUUCUGCGAAAGCAUUUGCCAAGGAUGUUUUCAUUAAUCAAGAACGAAAGUUAGGGGAUCGAAGACGAUCAGAUACCGUCGUAGUCUUAACCAUAAACUAUGCCGACUAGGGAUCGGACGAUGUUAAUUUUUUAAUGACUCGUUCGGCGCCUUACG